Triticum aestivum (bread wheat) is the source of this 1798-nucleotide long non-coding RNA. RefSeq lists it as uncharacterized. The record is from RefSeq and is a predicted model, not a curated record. The transcript has 2 exons. NCBI's taxonomy places the organism in Eukaryota, Viridiplantae, Streptophyta, Magnoliopsida, Poales, Poaceae.
CAGGAGGAAAAACAGUAGCAGAACUAGAUGAAGAAUACAAAUAACUCAUCAAAUAAAUCACUUUCAGGAAGAUUAUGUUGAACGGAUCGACGACGACGACAAUGAUGAUGAAGAUUUUGAUAUACCAGGACAUUCAAGUGUCACGUGAAAGGUACUUGUCUCAUUGUAAUGUGUUUUUAUUUCUUUUCUGUUUCUAUUUCCUAUGGUCUUAAGUAUGAAAGGUAGAAAGAUCACUGUAUAACAUUAGCUUGAAAUUAUUUGAGUCACAAAGUGGGUAUAUGUACAUAUAAUUGACAAGUUUAGGCCCAUCCCAAGCUGUAGGGCUCAUGAUGCAAAAUUUUGUUGCUAAUAGGAUAUCAAUGACAAUUAGUAUUUCCAAGUUGUAAGAUGAUUAAGAAAAAACACAUUGAUCUAUGUUGUUGGCUUGUUGCUAUCAUAAGCAAUUCUCAAAUAUGUGUUUUCCUUUUAUGUGGCAAUAAAGUAUUUUGCCUGAAACAUCUGCAUUGCAGCUAGGAUAUGCUAUUCUCAUAAGCCGCUCACCUAAAAACGAGAGUUCUCUAUUGCUUAAUGUAGAUAAAUAGAUAGUCUUGCUAUGCAUGUUUUGAGGCAAUCUGUCAGAUAUCUGGAGGACGGUAGUGGGUAAAAAUGCCAAUAAUGCACAUCAUUGUCAUAUGCCUCUAUCGAAAUUGACUUAUAAUAAGGUGCAUGUUAAACUUUCAAUAAUAUUUUCUGGAAUGUGUAUUUGUGCAUAUUGUUACUUAUUACUACUGUAAAAAAGUCGAUGGUGAACCCAAAGAUUCCAGAAGGACUGUGGAAAGAACGUGUUGAGCAUAAAAAGGCGACCUGCAAUAAUGGUAAUUUCUUCUUCUUAUAGUUUGUGAUAUGCCUUUUCUUUUCUUAUGAACCUACUGCAGUGGUAAUGCGAGGAGCAAGCGUGUACAAAUUAUAUCAUAAUAUACUCUUUAUAUUGCAUCUUUAGUUUAUUUCCCAUGUGUUUUUUUAUCAGAUUAAGUGAAAGCUAGAUGAGGCUGCACCUUCAAGUGCAGUGAUUGCUAUGCGUCCACUGUAUCAACAAAAUUUCAAUUGAUAUUGUAGCCGGUGUCGUGGUAACUCUUCACAUCACUUUCAUAUAAUUGAAUGUGUAAUGUUUGACCAAGUGUAGCUCCAUUUACCUUCUAUGGUUGUAAUUAUGUUUUAGAAUCACGAUCCAGUUUAUGUGAUAUUAGAAAACAAAAAUCAUAGGUGGUUGUGUCAGAGGCCUUGGGAGAGGUGCCAUGUGCACACGCGAAGCCUAACUACAGCAGUCGGAAAUCUAGGACAACCCGACAAAUAAUUAUUAUUAAAUUCGAGUAUGUGAAACAAAGAAGUCAAGUGUUCCACUGAUAAUAGAAAUGAAAUUCAGUUAUACUUGUUUAAAGACAUUCUUAUUAUUCUACCAAAUUCCACCAAAGACAGCCCAUUUAGCUCGCUCGAUCCCUUACCUGCUUGUAUGGUAUUUAUGAUAUUGUUUAUUUGAUCUCCUAACUAAAUGAAAUCCUUGUUAGAACUUUUCUCCGUGAAUGUGAUGCACUCCAUACAAGAAAUGUCUAGUUGCACUAGGCAUGUCUAUUCCUUCUUUGUUGCGGAACAUGGUGGCCCUUUCGGUAGAGAGGCAUGUGGAGAUUUUGUUAAUGCAUCAUGUAUAUAAUCUAUAAUUACAAUUUAUGUCUCCUGUUUCAUGUCUACUUUUCUUGUGGCUUAUUAGUCGUCUUGGCAUUAUGGAUUGGUUCUAUUUACAUGCCAAGCCAAUUUGUACGUA